This 371-nucleotide RNase P RNA is filed under the name Actinomycetota bacterium. RNAcentral's name for it is "Actinobacteria bacterium RNase P RNA component class A". It matches the Rfam family "Bacterial RNase P class A". From Rfam's summary of the family: Ribonuclease P (RNase P) is a ubiquitous endoribonuclease, found in archaea, bacteria and eukarya as well as chloroplasts and mitochondria. Its best characterised activity is the generation of mature 5'-ends of tRNAs by cleaving the 5'-leader elements of precursor-tRNAs. Cellular RNase Ps are ribonucleoproteins. Lineage: Bacteria; Bacillati; Actinomycetota. The record is from RNAcentral.
UGAGCCGGUCGGAUGGCCGCGGUUCGACGCAAGUCGAUCUGAGGAAAGUCGGGGCUUCACAGGACAAAGUGCUGGCGCGAGCCAGGUCGGGGAAACCUGACGACGGGUGCAACAGAGAGAGACCGCCGAUGGAUGGCGCCGCAAGGCGACGUCACAGGUAAGGGUGAAACGGUGCGGUAAGAGCGCACCAGCACGCGGAGCGAUCCGCGUGGCUCGGUGCCCCCACUUGAAGCAAGACCAUGCAGAGGGCAUGGGCGGUCCGUCCGCACUCCAGCAAUGGGGUGCACCCCUCGGGUAGGUCGCAUAGAGGGAUGGUCAUCGGUUGCGAUCACUCGCAACUACAGAACCCCGCUUACAGACCGACUCACCGU